CAGCUUCACUCAUCUGAAAAUACCUGACAGCUCCUGUGAACAUAGUCAGCUCCCUGGGCCUCAGUUUCUCCAUUUGGAAGAAGGGAGAAAAGGGAGGACUUGCCUGCUUCUUCAUGUUUGAUGUGCUAUGAGCAGCUUCAGUGAUGUGGUUUCAAUGAGCAGAACUUUCCUUGUACAUCAAAGGAUGGGCCGAGGGUGCUGUCAACCAAUUCUCUUCCUCCGAUCUCUUCAAACGCAGAGUCGCCCAGGCUCUGACAGUUUUGAUGCAUGGAUAAGGACCGGUUACUUUGCAUUUUUUUUAAUAUGGCAGAAAAUUCGAACUCAUAUUUUAACAAUAAACACUGAAAUAAUGGGCGA
Homo sapiens (human) is the source of this 357-nucleotide long non-coding RNA. RefSeq lists it as uncharacterized. The record is from RefSeq and is a predicted model, not a curated record. Lineage: Eukaryota; Metazoa; Chordata; Mammalia; Primates; Hominidae. The transcript is spliced from 3 exons.